GACAGAGGAUGCAAGCGUUAUCCGGAAUGAUUGGGCGUAAAGCGUCUGUAGGUGGCUUUUUAAGUCCGCCGUCAAAUCCCAGGGCUCAACCCUGGACAGGCGGUGGAAACUACCAAGCUGGAGUACGGUAGGGGCAGAGGGAAUUUCCGGUGGAGCGGUGAAAUUCGUAGAGAUUGGGUGGAACACCAGUGGCGAAGGCGCCUAUCUGGCCGAUAACUGACGCUGAGACUCGAAAGCAUGGGGAGCAAACAGG
RNAcentral lists this ribosomal RNA (253 nucleotides) under uncultured bacterium. RNAcentral describes it as "partial 16S ribosomal RNA". It matches the Rfam family "Bacterial small subunit ribosomal RNA", at positions 524 to 776 of the family's 1533-position model. The record is from RNAcentral.